GCCAUUUAUAACUUUCUCACUCCAUAGUAGAAAAGAAGCGAAACAAAAUCCCUCUCAAAUCCAAUUGGCGACUGCAGCGCUGUUUCUUCAUUUAGCAACCUUUGAAGAAAUUGAAAGAAAUUCCUUCAACGAUCUGAGAAUUCCGAUUUAAUCAACUGCACUAUUCAGCGCUGUUUCCGUUUCUCUUUUUCUCUUGAUUAUUGAAAGAAAUUUGAAGGAAUUGCGACAUGUAUCCAAGUUAUUUCCUUGAAUAGAUGUUUUGCAUGCAUUUCAUUUCAAGUGCGAGAAGCUGGAGGUUUUCGAUGUGAUAUGUAAUAGGGGAAUUGAUUUUUGGGUAGUGGAGAUGUUAAUGGGAAUCAGGUUAGUCUGAGUGGGAUUAUGUAUUUCAUUGAGGUUUUCAUAGCCUUUACAAUUUAGAAAGAAUUUUAGUUGGAAAACAUAAUGGAAAGGAUGUCGUGAAAUUUUUGUUCUCUUUUUUCAUUAUCAUUCAGAAUCUGUAGUUGAGAAUGUAUUUGAUUGUUAUAUAGGUCUAGACUAAAUGAAGGACUGCUUUAGUUUCUUCUUGUUUGGUGAGAGGCUGAUAUGUACCUUAUAUUUGAAAUUGUUUUAAGAAAGUGGUGCGUUCAUGAGAGAGUUGAUCCCUAUAUUAAUAUGUGAACGUAAACAUUGUUGUUCAGUUUUAGUACUUGAUUUCAAGUUCUACAGCAAUUUAUCUAUUGUAGAAUAAAAGCAAUUUUUCUUGUAUAAAGACACGGGGAAAGUGAGACAUUUAGAUUUGAUUUUAUUUCAAUUCCCUGAAACACAAGUGUUUCACUGCAAGAUUCAUUGAUGUUUUACAAGGUAUAUUAUUACCUGUGUCUCCUGUAGCUUUGAAGAGCUCAUUGAUUUAUACAGGCUUUCGCACUCGUGAUACAUAAUUUUGGGGUCAAAUUUGAUGUGAGUGCAUACUCGAAAGCCCACAGAAUGUCCAAAACACAACAGGCGUACCCAUCAUCAAAGAAAGCCCAAGCGCAUGAAAGAAAGACCUCAUUCUGGUGGAAGCCCUUUCCUUACUCCUCAAUAUAGACUAUGAGAUCGUUUUUCUAUCACGGGCAUAUGCUUAGUGAAUUUUGACUUAAUAUUGUUGCUGACUCCUUUCCUUUGUACUUUCACAUAUCUACAUUACCAUUGCAAUCAAUUUUGAAGUUAGUUCAUGUCAUUUCUUCUCGUGACUAGCUAUGAAGAAACAAUUGACAAAUUAGAACAGGGCCUGCAAAUGAUAUUUUGCCGCAUGAAUUGAAGCUUAUAUUGUCUCGUAGUAUUAUUGCGGAAUAUCAAUCAUUCUGAAGGGUUAUGCAACGUGAUGUGCCUUGUAGGAAAUUUUAUAUAAAUAUAAUUCUUGCUGAAAUUACA
Olea europaea var. sylvestris is the source of this 1392-nucleotide long non-coding RNA. RefSeq lists it as uncharacterized. The record is from RefSeq and is a predicted model, not a curated record. The transcript is spliced from 2 exons. Lineage: Eukaryota; Viridiplantae; Streptophyta; Magnoliopsida; Lamiales; Oleaceae.